CACGUAGUUAGCCGGGGGCUUUCUUCUCAAGUACCGUCACUCCCGGAGUAGUUACCCUCCGGGCCGUUCUUCCUUGGCAACAGAGCUUUACGAUCCGAAAACCUUCAUCACUCACGCGGCGUUGCUCCGUCAGGCUUUCGCCCAUUGCGGAAGAUUCCCUACUGCUGCCUCCCGUAGGAGUCUGGGCCGUGUCUCAGUCCCAGUGUGGCCGAUCACCCUCUCAGGUCGGCUACGCAUCGUCGCCUUGGUAGGCCGUUACCCUGCCAACUAGCUAAUGCGCCGCAGGCCCAUCCGUAAGCCGCAGAUUGCUCCGCGUUUCUUGACCUCUCCAUGCGAAGAAGCCACCUAUCCGGUAUUAGCUACCGUUUCCGGUAGUUAUCCCAGUCUUACGGGCAGGUUGCCUACGUGUUACUCACCCGUCCGCCGCUCCGGAUUCGUUUCCCGAAGGAACGCUCCAGCGCUCGACUUGCAUGUAUUAGGCACGCCGCCAGCGUUCGUCCUGAGCCGACGGAGACAAACGUCUCUACG
RNAcentral lists this ribosomal RNA (528 nucleotides) under uncultured Paenibacillus sp. RNAcentral describes it as "partial 16S ribosomal RNA". The record is from RNAcentral. Lineage: Bacteria; Bacillati; Bacillota; Bacilli; Caryophanales; Paenibacillaceae.